This 163-nucleotide microRNA precursor is filed under the name Medicago truncatula (barrel medic). RNAcentral describes it as "miR5287b stem-loop (mtr-MIR5287b)". The stretch from base 25 to 139 matches the Rfam family "MIR2593 microRNA precursor family". Lineage: Eukaryota; Viridiplantae; Streptophyta; Magnoliopsida; Fabales; Fabaceae. The record is from miRBase by way of RNAcentral.
AAGGACUAUAUCCUCCGGUCACUAUUAUAAGGAAAAAUUAACAUUUUAGAAUCAUUCGUUAAAUGAUGUAUGUAGUCUAUAAUAAAGACCACAUACAUCAUUUAAUGAAUGAAUCUAAAAUAUUAACUUUUGCUUAUAAUAGUGAUCGGAGGGUGUAGUUAGU